RNAcentral lists this long non-coding RNA (1083 nucleotides) under Numida meleagris (helmeted guineafowl). RNAcentral describes it as "lncRNA (ENSNMEG00000018470.1)". Lineage: Eukaryota; Metazoa; Chordata; Aves; Galliformes; Numididae. The record is from RNAcentral.
GUGAAAGUACUCCCCAGCGCUUUUAUUUCUUUAUUUAGACUUAUUCUGUUUAAAAAUGGACAAAAUGCAUGAGAAGGAUGCUGCUGAUGUCGUGCUGCAUGAGAGUGCAGAGGUCUGGUAUGCUGCCUGGGAAGAAACCAAAAAUCAGAAUUUGGGGGAAAGUAAUAAGUUAAGGACAGGAGGGAAAUCAAAAUUGGAGUUUUAAAACUAUUGAAUGCUACAGUAGAUCGUAGAAUUUGAAAAAGUUAAAUGCAUAUGGUUCCGCAGGAAAUAUGCUCCCUACCUUCCGUUCUCUUUCAUCUAGGUGCUCUUUAAAUUACAACAGCACGAAUGAACUCAAAUCUUCAGGAAUACAGGAGCAAUUCUGUGAAUACUUUGGAUGAUUCCAGGCUUAACUUCCAUAAAACAGCUUCAAGAUUUGCGACCUUCAGUACCUAUCCUGUGUCUUUUAAGAAUUUCCUCAGCCAGGGAACAGAUUCGUUCGUUUAAGAGUAACUGUAAAGAAUCUGCAAGAGCUUCCAUCAUCCGUCACUAAAAGAAUUAAACCUCGCUGCACUCCAGCUAGCUAGGUAAGUUGCAUUAGCCCUACAGAUCAGAGUAGCUGUGAUGUAGGAAGGUGGGGUGGGCAUUUCCUAAGACCUGCCACUGACAGACCUGUCAUUGGCUCAUCUUGGAAUAGAUGCCAGGUCUCUCACUUCCCAUUCCCUGACUUAUCGUCAACACAGUGCAUCUAUUUGAUUACAUAAUGGGGGAAUUACUUUUCUGAAAUGUUGCGUUUCAUCUCGUAUUUAUGUGGCGGAGCUGGGUGCAGAAACAAUUACUUGCAACUUGCCUACUAAACUAUAUCAGAAUUUCCUUAUAUGAAACCUCUUCAGUUUCUAUGAAUGCAUGCUUUGUGUGCCCAAGAGCAACUGAUCUUUAAGAUAUCUAUGUGAAUACAUUUUAAUAUGAUUUUACAAUGUUAAGCUAUCAGUCACAAUCUGUCAUUUCUGAAAUCUGAUACUAAUAGAAUUUAGUAUUUAUCGUUUUACAUUGGAAUAAGCAUAGGCAUAAAACAAUAUAAAACAAAACAAUGAAAAAAUC